GGGAAUCUUGCGCAAUGGGCGAAAGCCUGACGCAGCCAUGCCGCGUGGAUGAUGAAGGUCUUAGGAUUGUAAAAUCCUUUCAGCGGGGACGAUAAUGACGGUACCCGCAGAAGAAGCCCCGGCUAACUUCGUGCCAGCAGCCGCGGUAAUACGAAGGGGGCUAGCGUUGCUCGGAAUUACUGGGCGUAAAGGGAGCGUAGGCGGGUCGUUAAGUUGGGGGUGAAAUCCCGGGGCUCAACCUCGGAACUGCCUUCGAUACUGGCGACCUUGAGUAUGGGAGAGGUGAGUGGAACUCCGAGUGUAGAGGUGAAAUUCGUAGAUAUUCGGAAGAACACCAGUGGCGAAGGCGACUCACUGGCCCAUUACUGACGCUGAGGCUCGAAAGCGUGGGGAGCAAA
RNAcentral lists this ribosomal RNA (398 nucleotides) under uncultured bacterium. RNAcentral describes it as "bacterial SSU rRNA". It matches the Rfam family "Bacterial small subunit ribosomal RNA", at positions 357 to 772 of the family's 1533-position model. The record is from RNAcentral.